This 412-nucleotide ribosomal RNA is filed under the name Geobacillus thermodenitrificans. RNAcentral describes it as "bacterial SSU rRNA". It matches the Rfam family "Bacterial small subunit ribosomal RNA", at positions 505 to 916 of the family's 1533-position model. The record is from RNAcentral. Lineage: Bacteria; Bacillati; Bacillota; Bacilli; Caryophanales; Anoxybacillaceae.
GUGCCAGCAGCCGCGGUAAUACGUAGGGGGCGAGCGUUGUCCGGAAUUAUUGGGCGUAACGCGCGCGCAGGCGGUCCUUUAAGUCUGAUGUGAAAGCCCACGGCUCAACCGUGGAGGGUCAUUGGAAACUGGGGGACUUGAGUGCAGGAGAGGAGAGCGGAAUUCCACGUGUAGCGGUGAAAUGCGUAGAGAUGUGGAGGAACACCAGUGGCGAAGGCGGCUCUCUGGCCUGUAACUGACGCUGAGGCGCGAAAGCGUGGGGAGCAAACAGGAUUAGAUACCCUGGUAGUCCACGCCGUAAACGAUGAGUGCUAAGUGUUAGAGGGGUCACACCCUUUAGUGCUGUCAGCUAACGCGAUAAGCACUCCGCCUGGGGAGUACGGCGAAGCAUGAAACUCAAAGGAAUUGACGG